Molecule: ribosomal RNA, 783 nt
Filed under: uncultured bacterium
Lineage: Bacteria
Description: bacterial SSU rRNA
Rfam family: Bacterial small subunit ribosomal RNA
Source: RNAcentral
GGCGUAAAGAGCUCGUAGGUGGUUUGUCGCGUUGUUCGUGAAAUCUCACGGCUUAACUGUGAGCGUGCGGGCGAUACGGGCAGACUUGAGUACUGCAGGGGAGUCUGGAACUCCUGGUGUAGCGGUGGAAUGCGCAGAUAUCAGGAGGAACACCGGUGGCGAAGGCGGGUCUCUGGGCAGUAACUGACGCUGAGGAGCGAAAGCGUGGGGAGCGAACAGGAUUAGAUACCCUGGUAGUCCACGCCGUAAACGGUGGGUACUAGGUGUGGGUUUCCUUCCUUGGGAUCCGUGCCGUAGCUAACGCAUUAAGUACCCCGCCUGGGGAGUACGGCCGCAAGGCUAAAACUCAAAGAAAUUGACGGGGGCCCGCACAAGCGGCGGAGCAUGUGGAUUAAUUCGAUGCAACGCGAAGAACCUUACCUGGGUUUGACAUGCACAGGACGCCGGCAGAGAUGUCGGUUCCCUUGUGGCCUGUGUGCAGGUGGUGCAUGGCUGUCGUCAGCUCGUGUCGUGAGAUGUUGGGUUAAGUCCCGCAACGAGCGCAACCCUUGUCUCAUGUUGCCAGCGGGUAAUGCCGGGGACUCGUGAGAGACUGCCGGGGUCAACUCGGAGGAAGGUGGGGAUGACGUCAAGUCAUCAUGCCCCUUAUGUCCAGGGCUUCACACAUGCUACAAUGGCCGGUACAAAGGGCUGCGAUGCCGCGAGGUUAAGCGAAUCCUUUUAAAGCCGGUCUCAGUUCGGAUCGGGGUCUGCAACUCGACCCCGUGAAGUCGGAGUCGCUAG